Molecule: long non-coding RNA, 118 nt
Organism: Gopherus evgoodei (Goodes thornscrub tortoise)
Lineage: Eukaryota; Metazoa; Chordata; Testudines; Testudinidae
Exons: 3
Source: RefSeq, a predicted model, not a curated record
UAGGAUCUCUCUACGUCAGGGGUGCGCAAACUUUUUGGGUCAAUGGCCACAUCUGGGUGGGGAAAUUGUAUGCAGGGCUGGGGCAGCGGGUUGGGGUGCAGGAGGGAGUGCAGGGUAU